GAGUUUGAUCCUGGCUCAGAUUGAACGCUGGCGGCAUGCCUUACACAUGCAAGUCGAACGGCAGCACGGGAGCAAUCCUGGUGGCGAGUGGCGAACGGGUGAGUAAUAUAUCGGAACGUGCCCAGUCGUGGGGGAUAACGCAGCGAAAGCUGUGCUAAUACCGCAUACGAUCUCUGGAUGAAAGCGGGGGACCUGCAAGGGCCUCGCGCGAUUGGAGCGGCCGAUAUCAGAUUAGCUAGUUGGCGGGGUAAAAGCCCACCAAGGCGACGAUCUGCAGCUGGUCUGAGAGGACGACCAGCCACACUGGAACUGAGACACGUCCAGAUC
RNAcentral lists this ribosomal RNA (327 nucleotides) under uncultured beta proteobacterium 341ev. Its description in RNAcentral is "bacterial SSU rRNA". It matches the Rfam family "Bacterial small subunit ribosomal RNA", at positions 9 to 337 of the family's 1533-position model. Lineage: Bacteria; Pseudomonadati; Pseudomonadota; Betaproteobacteria. The record is from RNAcentral.